Long non-coding RNA from Ursus maritimus (polar bear), 1827 nucleotides. The record is from Ensembl. NCBI's taxonomy places the organism in Eukaryota, Metazoa, Chordata, Mammalia, Carnivora, Ursidae.
AACAGCACCGCCCAAGGAACAGUGGGUGUAGGUGACACUGCGGGUUCCCUGGGGGAAAUGCGGAGUUCCUGAUGGCUAGGGUCAACUGCGGGGCAGUCUGGGGCCAGCAGGGAGACUGGUAUGCGGGAACAUUCCUCUGCAGGCUCCCAUGGCGGCUCUGCGGCGCUGGAGGAGAUCCACAAAUAUUUGUCUGGUUACAUAGUUCAGGCAUGUGAAAAUCAGACCCAAGAAACACACGCUUUAUUCUCUUUCCAGAAACGCUGCCUGAACUCCGACCCCUGGCGCUCCCGGCGUCUCCCCAGAUUUUCCAUCUGUUCUCCAUUAUUCCACUUCACUGCUGUUGUAGGCUUUGCUGGAAACGGGAGUCCCGCCUUGAGCCAGCAGUCAGGGUGUCCUUCUGCCCACCUUCAGUAAUCCACAGUGCUCCUCCUGCCGCACAACCCUCCCCAUCCACACAGCCCUCGCCGGCCGCUGCCCGGGGCCACACGGCCUCUGUCACUCCCUGGGAAGACAGUGAUUCCCACUGCUCUGGAAUUCUUGAUUACGCAUGCAUGUGUGCGUGUCAGGACCAGCGCGGUGCCCUGGUGCUUGUCACACAGUUCCCGCCAGCUGUCUCCCGCGGCCUGUGUUUCCUCGAGGCUGGGGGCUCCAGAAGAAAGCUGACGAGCCUGGUCUGGCCCUGCUUGGUGUCACGCGUUUUGCAGGGCUUUCUAAGAAUCAUGAGCACAGGGGUCCCCAGGAUUGGUCUGCAUUUGCUCCAGUUACUCUUGCUGGUGACGAAGCACUUGACACGGAGACUUAGAACCACCGUCCUCUUUUGUUCCUGAUUCUGUUGGCGGGGGUGGGGGGCUGCCAUGUGGGCCUGGAGCCCUGGUCAUGUCUGCAGCAGAGCAUUCACGAUGCUGAUGGCUGACAGGAACGGCCCCGGGUCGCCUUCCCAGCCCAGCGGGCUCUGUGAGGUCGGGCUGCCCUGAGCCUAGGGCCGCUGUGCCCUGUGUCACAAGUGCCCAUGUCCCCUGCUGGGCUCAGGGGUGGGGCGCGGGUCCCACCUCUUGUUGGGACGAGUGUCACAGGACGUGGGAGGCGUGGUCGAGGAGCCACAGUACUGAGUAUGACAUAAACACAGUUGAAGUCAGCAUGGAGACUGUCGAAGGCGGUCCCGACAUCACCGAAUCUGGAUAGCGGGGUCUGCAGGCGGCCGAGGGGCUUCCUGCCGUGUUCCCAAGGCCUGCAUCCGCUAAAGCACAAUCGAGCUGAGGACCCGUGAGCUGACCAGCUCCCGAAAAGUCUUCCGUGGAUCCUCUCACACGUCCAAGAGUGGACGGAGCAGAAAGCAACUGCAUUAGAACAGACUGAGCAGGAACCAUUGACGGAAACCACACCCUGAAACAGUUAUGGAAAACGCCACAGUUUGUUAAAUACUUCCACGCGGUUUGCCUCAUCUGAUGACAUCUCACACAUGACUAAAUGUACCACCAAAAAGAGAAGCCAUGCAGUAAGACCGGCGUGGAGGUCUCUGGACAGAUUCACGUAAGAAAAGGAGGAAAAUUAAUCAGAGAAAGAAAGAAAAGAAGGAAAAAAAAAAAAAAGAAAGAGAAGGAAAGAAAGAAAGAAAGCUAGCUGACCAACUGCCAAACAAGAACAUGAAGAGACUGUCCCGGGCUUAGAAACCAGACAUCGUGCAGGGGACAGGGUAUCCAGAGGAUGGCGCUCAGUCUGUAAAGGGGCAGGUGGUAAGUACAUGGUUUGCAGACCACGCCUGCCACUGGAGAGUCCCAGAGUCCCCAAGCUAGAAGCGGGAGCGGGAUUUGCUUCUUCAUUUAAAGG